This 226-nucleotide ribosomal RNA is filed under the name uncultured bacterium. RNAcentral's name for it is "partial 16S ribosomal RNA". It matches the Rfam family "Bacterial small subunit ribosomal RNA", at positions 106 to 334 of the family's 1533-position model. The record is from RNAcentral.
CGGGAGUAAUGUAUGGGGAUCUGCCCGAUAGAGGGGGAUAACUACUGGAAACGGUGGCUAAUACCGCAUAAUGUCUACGGACCAAAGCAGGGGCUCUUCGGACCUUGCACUAUCGGAUGAACCCAUAUGGGAUUAGCUAGUAGGUGGGGUAAAGGCUCACCUAGGCGACGAUCUCUAGCUGGUCUGAGAGGAUGAUCAGCCACACCGGGACUGAGACACGGCCCAG